This 2092-nucleotide small RNA is filed under the name Pongo abelii (Sumatran orangutan). RNAcentral's name for it is "retained intron". The record is from RNAcentral. Lineage: Eukaryota; Metazoa; Chordata; Mammalia; Primates; Hominidae.
CUCCGGGCCCGUGCUGGGCGGGAAGGCGGUGCCCGGGCCGAGGUGGCGGCGGCUCCUCAGGACGGAAGCUCCUGUUUUCUUGUCAGCCGCCGGCUGAGGGCCAUUCGCAGCUUCUCCAGGACACCUGCAUUCCUCGUCUCAGAGCCUCCCUCCUGCAUCCUCCAAGCCAGCAGUUGUGGGAUGGGAGAAGAAGUUGUCCAUGUUCACACUGGGUGAAGGAAGCCGAAACCACAGACAUGACUGAGUCCUCCAUGAAGAAGCUGGCCUCCACCCUGCUGGAUGCCAUCACCGAUAAGGACCCCCUGGUGCAGGAGCAGGUCUGCAGUGCCUUGUGCUCCCUUGGGGAGGUGCGGCCGGUGGAGACGCUCCGUGCCUGCGAGGAGUACCUGCGGCAGCAUGACAAGCUGGUGCACCCAUACCGAGCGGCGGUCCUGAGGGCUAUGGAGAGGGUCCUGAGCAGUCGCGCCAGUGAGCUGGACAAGGACACAGCCAGCACCAUCAUCCUCCUGGCCUCCAACGAGAUGACCAAGACGAAGGACCUGGUCUGGGACUGGCAGCAGGCGGCGAGUGGUGUCCUGGUGGCCGUGGGAAAGCAGUUCAUCAGCAAGGUGAUGGAGGAGCUGCUGCGCAGGCUGCACCCCGGGACCCUGCCACACUGCGCCGUGCUGCACACCCUCGCCAGCCUCUCAGUGGCCAACGCGUUCGGCGUAGUCCCCUUCCUGCCAUCCGUCCUGAGCUCCCUGCUGCCCGUGCUGGGCAUGGCCAAGCAGGACACGGUGCGUGUGGCGUUCUGCUCCGCUCUGCAGCGCUUCAGCGAGGGUGCCCUGGAGUACCUGGCCAACCUGGACCGAGCCCCAGACCCCACGGUCAGGAAGGACGCCUUUGCCACCGACAUCUUCAGUGCCUACGAUGUUCUCUUCCACCAGUGGCUGCAGAGUCGCGAAGCCAAGCUGCGUCUUGCCGUGGUGGAGGCUCUGGGGCCUAUGAGCCAUCUGCUGCCCAGUGAGAGGCUGGAAGAGCAGCUGCCCAAGCUCCUCCCUGGGAUCCUCGCCCUCUACAAGAAGCACGCAGAGACCUUCUACUUGUCCAAGAGCCUGGGCCAGAUCCUCGAGGCGGCCGUGAGUGUGGGCAGCCGCACACUGGAGACCCAACUGGAUGCCCUCUUGGCUGCACUGCACUCCCAGGUAGGAGGCGGGCGUCGGGGUGGGUCCAGGUUCUGCACACCCUUCCGUGGGAAGUUGCUGGACGAGGGGUGCAGAAAGCAAGUCGGGGUGGACGGCUCAGCCACGUGGGGCUGAGGACUGGGCAUUCCCUGAAGGUCACUCGGGUGACUUCUUAGCGAUGUGGCGAUGCUCUUGCCCUGCCCAGCAGUGGCACAUGCAGGUGACAUAGGAGCCCCCAGGAUGGAGGUGGCAGGAGUGGGUGCCCAGGCCCAGUGCAGGCCCAGUACAGGUGGUCCCUGAGAAAGGUCAGUACAGCCAAAGUGCCAGUUGGGGAAGACUGCCCUGGGUUUCUGGGGAUGGAGCUCAGAGGAGCAGAGGAGAGGCCCGGGGCUGCAGGAUGGGGGUCUUGAAGGCCCUGCUGGAGAGGAAGUGAUGUGGGGAGGAGGCUGAGCAGCUGGGACCCCUCCCCAGCUCGGGUGAAUGAGGCUGAGAACGACUGAGGGACGCAGGUGCCGGGUCACCCAUGACCUUGGCACUGGGGGUCAUCUGUCCAUGGGACUUUCUGGAUGAGAGAGGAGAGGGGCAGGGAGCUAGAGAGGGUGGUGUGGUGAAGUCUGCAAGGAGACUUUCUGAAAAGAAGUGUGGAGGUGUGGGCUCGUGUGGAGGUGUGGGCUUGUGUGUGGAGGUGGGUUUACUGCUUGGCUCUGCCCCUCACCUGGCCCACUCCAGCUGGGCCCCACUCUCCACUGCCUGGAUGGUCCUGGCUGCAUCCCAGAAACAAAGGGGAAGAGGGGAUGGCAGCCACAGAGCUAGUAAACAUAAUGUAAGUGCUGUGAACAGUUACAUGGUAACAAACUGUUAAAACUGUACGAAAUGGUUAGGUUCUUAGAAAGAUAAAAAUGUCAAAAUUGGUACGAAAAGCAACAGAG